AUCGCUUCUCGGCCUUUUGGCUAAGAUCAAGUGUAGUAUCUGUUCUUAUCAGUUUAAUAUCAGCCCCUGGCCACAGUGACAUGACUCAGUCAUUCUAGUCCAAAAAAAA
Small nuclear RNA from Microcebus murinus (gray mouse lemur), 109 nucleotides. Its record names the gene U2. It matches the Rfam family "U2 spliceosomal RNA". Rfam says of the family: U2 is a small nuclear RNA (snRNA) component of the spliceosome (involved in pre-mRNA splicing). NCBI's taxonomy places the organism in Eukaryota, Metazoa, Chordata, Mammalia, Primates, Cheirogaleidae. The record is from Ensembl.